Molecule: ribosomal RNA, 253 nt
Filed under: uncultured bacterium
Lineage: Bacteria
Description: partial 16S ribosomal RNA
Rfam family: Bacterial small subunit ribosomal RNA
Source: RNAcentral
UACAGAGGGUGCGAGCGUUAAUCGGAAUUACUGGGCGUAAAGCGCAUGUAGUCGGCUUUGCAAGUCGGUUGUGAAAUCCCCGGGCUCAACCUGGGAACUGCAUCCGAGACUGCAUUGCUAGAGUAUGGGAGAGGAAAGCGGAAUUUCUGGUGUAGCAGUGAAAUGCGUAGAUAUUAGAAGGAACAUCAGUGGCGAAGGCGGCUUUCUGGACCAAUACUGACGAUCAGGUGCGAAAGCGUGGGGAGCAAACAGG